CCUACGGGAGGCAGCAGCAGGGAAUAUUGCGCAAUGAGCGAAAGCUUGACGCAGCGACACCGCGUGUGGGAUGACGGAUCUAGGUUUGUAAACCACUUUCAGGAGGGAAGAAAAUGACGGUACCUCCACAAGAAGCCCCGGCCAACUACGUGCCAGCAGCCGCGGUAAUACGUAGGGGGCGAGCGUUGUCCGGAUUUAUUGGGCGUAAAGAGCUCGUAGGCGGUUCAACAAGUCGGUCGUGAAAGUUCAGGGCUCAACCCUGAAAUGUCGAUCGAUACUGUUGUGACUAGGAUACGGUAGAGGUGAGUGGAAUUCCGAGUGUAGCGGUGAAAUGCGUAGAUAUUCGGAGGAACACCAAUUGCGAAGGCAGCUCACUGGGCCGCUAUCGACGCUGAGGAGCGAAAGCUAGGGGAGCAAACAGGAUUAGAUACCCUGGUAGUCCUAGCUGUAAACGUUGGAUACUAGACGUANGAACUGGAUUGACGGUUUCUGUGUCGCAGCUAACGCGUUAAGUAUCCCGCCUGGGGAGUACGGUCGCAAGACUAAAACUCAAAGGAAUUGACGG
RNAcentral lists this ribosomal RNA (565 nucleotides) under uncultured bacterium. Its description in RNAcentral is "bacterial SSU rRNA". It matches the Rfam family "Bacterial small subunit ribosomal RNA", at positions 338 to 916 of the family's 1533-position model. The record is from RNAcentral.